This 429-nucleotide ribosomal RNA is filed under the name Acidobacteriota bacterium. RNAcentral's name for it is "Acidobacteria bacterium partial 16S ribosomal RNA". It matches the Rfam family "Bacterial small subunit ribosomal RNA", at positions 355 to 776 of the family's 1533-position model. The record is from RNAcentral. Lineage: Bacteria; Pseudomonadati; Acidobacteriota.
UGGGGAAUUUUGGACAAUGGGGGAAACCCUGAUCCAGCCAUCCCGCGUGUGCGAUGAAGGCCUUCGGGUUGUAAAGCACUUUUGGCAGGAAAGAAACGUCAUGGGUUAAUACCCCGUGAAACUGACGGUACCUGCAGAAUAAGCACCGGCUAACUACGUGCCAGCAGCCGCGGUAAUACGUAGGGUGCAAGCGUUAAUCGGAAUUACUGGGCGUAAAGCGUGCGCAGGCGGUUCGGAAAGAAAGAUGUGAAAUCCCAGAGCUCAACUUUGGAUCUGCAUUUUAAACUACCGGGCUAGAGUGUGUCAGAGGGAGGUGGAAUUCCGCGUGUAGCAGUGAAAUGCGUAGAUAUGCGGAGGAACACCGAUGGCGAAGGCAGCCUCCUGGGAUAACACUGACGCUCAUGCGCGAAAGCGUGGGGAGCAAACAGG